UACAGAGGUGGCAAGCGUUGUUCGGAAUUACUGGGCGUAAAGGGCGCGUAGGCGGCCUUCUAAGUCAGACGUGAAAUCCCCCGGCUUAACCUGGGAACUGCGUCUGAUACUGGAGGGCUUGAGUAUGGGAGAGGGAUGUAGAAUUCCAGGUGUAGCGGUGAAAUGCGUAGAUAUCUGGAGGAAUACCGGCGGCGAAGGCGGCAUCCUGGACCAUUACUGACGCUGAGGCGCGAAAGCUAGGGGAGCAAACGGG
Molecule: ribosomal RNA, 253 nt
Filed under: uncultured bacterium
Lineage: Bacteria
Description: partial 16S ribosomal RNA
Rfam family: Bacterial small subunit ribosomal RNA
Source: RNAcentral